Mustela lutreola (European mink) is the source of this 973-nucleotide long non-coding RNA. RefSeq lists it as uncharacterized. The transcript has 4 exons. The record is from RefSeq and is a predicted model, not a curated record. Lineage: Eukaryota; Metazoa; Chordata; Mammalia; Carnivora; Mustelidae.
AGUCCGCCCCCAGUAGGAACCCCACCCGCCUCCGCCUCCUUUAGUCCGCCCUUGGCGGGGAGGAGCCCCCACCCAACAGCCCUGCUCGCGUCCCGCCCCCGCACCGGGCAAGGGGCCUGGCGAGGAGGAGGAGGAGCCCGAGACCGUCGGCCCCUCCUCCGCCGCGAAGGCCCGCCUCUGAGGAAAACCCGAGCCUCAGAAAGCUUGUUCUGUAGGCUUGCGGGCUGGCAGCCUUGGACCUCGGUUAGAGGCUGGGGGAGCGGAGUGGGAAGCCUCCCGAGAGCUGGGCCCCUGGGGGAACCCUUAGCCAUUGUCGCGGCCCCAUCUCAGGCUGUGGGGCAUGGGGCAGCCAAGGCUACUGGGAAGGGUUUCGUCGUGACCUCUCAAGGGAUGUCAAAGUGAAAUUUGAUCACGCGGGUCCGCAAAAGUUCUACAGGGGGUGCAGAAUUUCCAAAAGGAAGAGGUUUGCGAGCAGCAAUCUGGUGGGACGCUGGGCCAGGGGACCAGCCACGAAACUCUGCACAGCGCCCCGUGUUUUUAUCCAGAUGGUUUGUGGGAAAGAGGCUACAGUCCUUCCAGCCACUCCUUGGCUACCGGCAAGAUCAGGUCUGCAUGAGCGUCAAGAGACCAGGGUAGUAACCAAUAGGAGAGACUCAGCUUACAUCAAUAUCCACGCAGAAUGGAAUGGAAUGGAAUGUGAUGUGCCAGCGUUAAGGAUUGGCUAAAGCCCAUCUAUACUAGAUAAUACCUAUUUUAAAUAUAUUCUAGUGGUCACCUGUGUUUGUUGCUAAGGAGGGUAUAUCCAGUUCCUGAUACUCCAUCUUUGGCAAAAGGGGGAAGUCUGGAAACCUCUUUUAAUGAGUAGUUGAAGUAUCUUGAACCUAAUGAAGAAAGAAUGAACACAUGUUCAAGACCAGUCCUUAAAGAGUUGCAAAGCAUUUCCUGAAGCAUUGCAUAAAAUUAGUUUUCAGAA